This is a non-coding RNA of Vicia faba (fava bean), 393 nucleotides long. Lineage: Eukaryota; Viridiplantae; Streptophyta; Magnoliopsida; Fabales; Fabaceae. The record is from the annotation of a GenBank genome assembly.
AUGAGUCCCCUCACUUCCUCAUGUAAGUCAAUGUUUCCCCCUCUAGGAGGAUAAAUAUCUUUCUCAUAACUUCGCAAGCCUACCUGACAUUCCCUUCUAUCAUUCGUUCCUGGAUAGCUGUGGUGUUCCAAGAGACAUAUGGAAGAUUUCGAAGCCUGCUCUGUGAUGGGAGGUGAGGCUGUUCAAGGAAGUAUCCUUGGGGAAGGCCGGGCACGUGGAACAAAGUAACUGCUGGACCAAUGUGUUUGUGCCAAAUCAAAAGGCAAUGACAAUUGUCUCAGGAGCAAUCCCUUUCAGUUCAAAUUCCGAGCUUGUACAGGUAUACGGAAAUGGUCUGACCAAGAGGCAUCGAUCUGGAGUGGGUCUUGCAUUGCCGGAUGACAGGAGCCCUUC